Molecule: ribosomal RNA, 1401 nt
Filed under: Triticum aestivum (bread wheat)
Lineage: Eukaryota; Viridiplantae; Streptophyta; Magnoliopsida; Poales; Poaceae
Description: partial small subunit ribosomal RNA
Source: RNAcentral
AUGUUUGAGUUGAAGCUCUGCAGUUCAGAUGUAACAUACUUGAAUAUGAUUGCAGUGAUGGAAACCCAAGGAUUUAGUGAAUAUGAUCUGCUGUUUCACAUUGAGAAUCCACAAUUAGGGGAGAAAGGAUUGGAGAUGGUAGAGUGUAAUGCUGAGUUGCAAUUAGUAAAGAAGCAGGUUGAGGAGUCUAAGGUCUUAAAUUUGCUAGUGAGGGCAUGUCCACCUCCUUGCAGCCAGUUUGAGAGGCAAGAAUUAUCCACUGUUGUGUAUGAAGAGCCUGUGUUAUAUGAUCUCAGUGAGGCACCCAUCUAUGCUGUUAAUGAAGAAGGAGUUGCAUUUGAAAGUCAGAGUAGUAGCUACAGUGUAGCUCAUGGUACUGGUCUUUGCACACAAGAGAGCAAGAAUGUAAAAGGAAAAAUGAAAGCUGUUAUGGAAAUAGAAAAAGAAGAGGGAUAUGUUGGCAGUGGUGGUUCUGAUUGUGAAGGUGAAGAGGACAUUGAUGUACCACCUUUUUAUAUGGGUGAUGCUGAUGACAUAGAGAUGGCUGAGGGAAAGAAACAGAAAGAGUAUGAUGAAAUGGAAGAGGAAGAAACAGAUGAUGAAGAAUCUGAGGAGGAAGAAGUUGUGCAUUAUGAGGGUGAAACAGAGGUUGAGGAACCUUUUCAAAUGGAUGAAGAUGACAAAGUUGUUUCACAGGAUGUAGAAACUGUAAUUGUACAUGAAGAGAAGAAGAAGAAGAAACAGAAGCUUCCAGUUAGGAGAGGGCCUACAACAAGGUCACAUUCAAGUGUAGUAUCAGAGGAGGAACCUAAUUUCAAACCUUCAUCUGAUGAAGAAGAGAAAGGUUUUUUGAAGGAGGCUGAUGAUGAUGGUUUUGAGCCAUUGUCAUUUGUGCUGCCAAAGAAAAGGAAAAGCAGGGCAAAGCAGAGGCCUCCUAGAAAAUGGUACAAUGAGAAAAUGGAUGCACCACAUGAGCAAUUAUGUCUACACAUGUGUUUCUUGGAUCAACAUCAAUUCAGAGAGGCUUUGUUGAACCUACACAUCACUCAAGAAAGAAACUUCAGAUAUCAUAGGAACUCAGAUCAAAGAAUAAUUGUAGAAUGCAACCAAAAAAAUUGCAACUUCUUUAUGGUGGCAGCAGUUAUAAAAGGUGAAACUACUUUUGUAAUUAAGAAGAUGAGAAUUAAGCACACUUGCCCUACUAGUACAGAGACAACAAGGGUAAGUGCCAAGUGGCUUGCACAGAAGUAUGAGUCACUGUUCAGAUCUGAUCUAACAACUGGCAUUCAGACUUUGAUUGAUGCUUGCAUGGAGAAGUAUGGUGUGGAUGUGCCCAAGUCAAUGGCAUAUAGAGCAAAGAACAUAGCUAUUGAUGCUGUGCUAGGAGACCACAAGAAGUAA